This 408-nucleotide ribosomal RNA is filed under the name uncultured bacterium. RNAcentral describes it as "partial 16S ribosomal RNA". It matches the Rfam family "Bacterial small subunit ribosomal RNA", at positions 28 to 526 of the family's 1533-position model. The record is from RNAcentral.
GACGAACGCUGGCGGCGUGCCUAAUACAUGCAAGUCGAGCGAAACGGCGGAUGGGUGAGUAACGCGUGGGUAACCUGCCCUUAAGUCUGGGAUACCAUUUGGAAACAGAUGCUAAUACCGGAUACUAAAGGAUGGACCUGGGUUGACUUAGCGAGUUGGCAAGGUAACGGCUUACCAAGGCGAUGAUGCAUAGCCGGGUUGAGAGACUGAUCGGCCACAUUGGGACUGAGACACGGCCCAGACUCCUACGGGAGGCAGCAGUAGGGAAUCUUCCACAAUGGACGAAAGUCUGAUGGAGCAACGCCGCGUGAGUGAAGAAGGUUUUCGGAUCGUAAAGCACUGUUGUUGGUGAGGCGGUAAUCAACCAGAAAGUCACGGCUAACUACGUGCCAGCAGCCGCGGUAAUUC